Molecule: unclassified non-coding RNA, 391 nt
Filed under: soil metagenome
Description: partial contains 5.8S ribosomal RNA, internal transcribed spacer 2, and large subunit ribosomal RNA
Rfam family: 5.8S ribosomal RNA (bases 1-122)
Source: RNAcentral
GAUGAAGAACGUAGUGAAAUGCGAUACUUGGUGUGAAUUGCAGAAUCCCGUGAACCAUCGAGUCUUUGAACGCAAGUUGCGCCCGAAGCCAUUAGGCCGAGGGAACGCCUGCCUGGGCGUCACACGUCGUUGCCCCCCCAUCUACUCCUUCGGGAUUGCGGGGGGCGGAUGAUGGCCUCCCGUGCGCCUCGUCGCGCGGUUGGCAUAAAUGCCAAGUCCUCGGCGACGCACGCCACGACAAUCGGUGGUUGCGAAACCUCGGUUGCCCGUCGUGUGCGGUCGUCGCGCAUCGAGGGCUCGAAAAAAUUGCCGGGCUCCGGCUCGGCUUUCAACGCGACCCCAGGUCAGGCGGGGUUACCCGCUGAAUUUAAGCAUAUCAAUAAGCGGAGGA